AUUGAACGCUGGCGGCGUGCCUAAUACAUGCAAGUCGAACGCAAAACUUUCACCGAAUGCUUGCAUUCACGAAAGUUUUGAGUGGCGAACGGGUGAGUAACACGUGGGUAACCUGCCCAGAAGAGGGGGAUAACACUUGGAAACAGGUGCUAAUACCGCAUAAUAACAAAAACCGCAUGGUUUUUGUUUGAAAGAUGGUUUUGCUAUCACUUCUGGAUGGACCCGCGGCGUAUUAGCUAGUUGGUAAGGUAAAGGCUUACCAAGGCAAUGAUACGUAGCCGAACUGAGAGGUUGAUCGGCCACAUUGGGACUGAGACACGGCCCAAACUCCUACGGGAGGCAGCAGUAGGGAAUCUUCCACAAUGGGCGCAAGCCUGAUGGAGCAACACCGCGUGAGUGAAGAAGGGUUUCGGCUCGUAAAACCCUGUUGUUAAAGAAGAACGUAUCUAAGAGAAACUGCUUAGGUAGUGACGGUAUUUAACCAGAAAGCCACGGCUAACUACGUGCCAGCCGCCGCAGUAA
This 522-nucleotide ribosomal RNA is filed under the name uncultured bacterium. RNAcentral describes it as "partial 16S ribosomal RNA". It matches the Rfam family "Bacterial small subunit ribosomal RNA", at positions 30 to 523 of the family's 1533-position model. The record is from RNAcentral.